This is a non-coding RNA of Macaca mulatta (Rhesus monkey), 2846 nucleotides long. Lineage: Eukaryota; Metazoa; Chordata; Mammalia; Primates; Cercopithecidae. The record is from RefSeq and is a predicted model, not a curated record.
GCUGCGGGGCGGGCAGGACAGGAGCCGGCACCGACACCGAGCGCCGCCCGCCCGCACCUCCCCCGCCGCCCCCGGCGCCCCCGGCCCCCCUCGCCGCUCCCCGGGGCGGGGCCGCGCCCUCUGAGUGGGGGAUGCCGGCCGCGCCCCGCGACCCCAGCCCCGGGCAGCCCCCUGCGCUCUGGGGGACCCCGGGCGGCAGUGGCCGGGCGCGCUGAGCUGGUGCUGAAGGGACAGCUCCCGGCCGAGCCCUGCAGCCCCGGGCGGCUCAUGGUCCCAGAAGCCGAAGCCGAAGCCCAGGCCCGGGCGGGGAUGCUGGGGAUGCCCCGCGAGUGAGGCCCCCGCUGCAGCCGCGUUCAUGGCGGUGGCCAGGAAGAUCCGAACUUUGCUGACGGUGAACAUCCUGGUGUUCGUGGGCAUCGUCCUGUUCUCCGUGUACUGCCGCCUGCAGGGCCGCUCCCAGGAGCUCGUGCGCAUCGUGAGCGGCGACCGCCGGGUGCGCAGCCGACACGCCAAGGUGGGCGCGCUGGGGGACCGCGAGGCCAUCCUGCAGCGCCUGGACCACCUGGAGGAGGUGGUCUACAACCAGCUCAACGGCCUCGCCAAGCCCAUCGGCCUGGUGGAGGGGCCAGGAGGCCUGGGCCAGGGCGGCUUGGCGGCCACCCUGCGUGAUGACGGCCAGGAGGCGGAAGGCAAGUAUGAGGAGUACGGCUACAACGCUCAGCUCAGUGACCGCAUCUCCCUGGAUCGGAGCAUCCCCGACUACCGGCCCAGAAAGUGCAGACACAUGAGCUACGCCCAGGACCUGCCCCAGGUCUCCGUGGUCUUCAUCUUCGUCAACGAGGCACUGUCGGUCAUCCUGCGCUCCGUGCACAGCGUGGUCAACCACACGCCCUCCCAGCUCCUCAAGGAGGUCAUCCUGGUGGACGACAACAGUGACAAUGUGGAGCUCAAGUUCAAUCUGGACCAGUAUGUCAACAAGCGGUACCCGGGCCUCGUGAAGAUCGUCCGCAAUAGCCGGCGGGAAGGACUGAUCCGCGCCCGGCUGCAGGGCUGGAAGGCGGCCACUGCCCCAGUCGUCGGCUUCUUCGAUGCCCACGUCGAGUUCAACACAGGCUGGGCGGAGCCCGCACUGUCUCGGAUCCGAGAGGACCGGCGUCGCAUCGUGCUGCCAGCCAUAGACAACAUCAAGUACAGCACGUUUGAGGUGCAGCAGUACGCCAACGCUGCCCACGGCUACAACUGGGGCCUCUGGUGCAUGUACAUCAUCCCCCCGCAGGACUGGCUGGACCGCGGCGACGAGUCAGCACCCAUCAGGACCCCGGCCAUGAUCGGCUGCUCCUUCGUGGUGGACCGCGAGUACUUCGGAGACAUUGGGCUGCUAGACCCUGGCAUGGAGGUGUACGGUGGCGAGAACGUAGAACUGGGCAUGAGGGUGUGGCAGUGUGGUGGCAGCAUGGAGGUGCUGCCCUGCUCCCGCGUGGCCCACAUCGAGCGCACCAGGAAGCCCUACAACAACGACAUCGACUACUAUGCCAAGCGCAACGCCCUGCGCGCCGCCGAGGUGUGGAUGGACGACUUCAAGUCCCACGUGUACAUGGCCUGGAACAUCCCCAUGACGAACCCAGGGGUGGACUUCGGGGACGUGUCUGAGAGGCUGGCCCUGCGCCAGAGGCUGAAGUGCCGCAGCUUCAAGUGGUACCUGGAGAACGUGUACCCGGAGAUGAGGAUCUACAACAACACCCUCACGUACGGAGAGGUGAGAAACAGCAAAGCCAGCGGCUACUGCCUGGACCAGGGAGCGGAGGACGGCGACCGGGCGAUCCUCUACCCCUGCCACGGGAUGUCCUCCCAGGGAGAGCCUGGGCUGGAGCACGGGCCAUGGCACCCCCGGGCCUGGAUGCUGCUCACACACAGCCCCGGUGGUCCUGUCCCCAGCUGGUGCGGUACAGCGCUGACGGCCUGCUGCAGCUGGGGCCUCUGGGCUCCACAGCCUUCUUGCCCGACUCCAAGUGUCUGGUGGAUGACGGCAGGGGCCGCACGCCCACCCUGAGGAAGUGUGAGGAUGUGGCAAGGCCCACACAGCGGCUGUGGGACUUCACCCAGAGCGGCCCCAUUGUGAGCCGGGCCACGGGCCGCUGCCUGGAGGUGGAGAUGUCCAAAGACGCCAACUUCGGGCUCCGGCUGGUGGUGCAGAGGUGCUCGGGGCAGAAGUGGAUGAUCAGAAACUGGAUCAAACAUGCACGGCACUGACCCCGCCUCUGCCUGGACCCCCACGGACCUCGGGAAGGCGCUGGGCCAAGCCAGUGUCGCUGAGUGGCCGGGGUAUGCCCAGCAGACACAGCAGGGCAGGGCUCUAUGUGCGGCCAGGACAGCAGAGGCCAAGGGGCCGGGGUGUGGCUGAGUGACCAGGGUGUCAGCCACUGCAGCUGGAGUACAGCUCCUCCUAGGACAGGCGGCUCUACCCAAGGGAGGGCGUCUGGGGACAGUGACGCCGACUCAAACACGUGCCUUCUCCACGGUAUCUCCUGGCCAGGCUGCUGGGACGGCCGCCACCUCUGCAUGUACCACAGCCCCUACGCCCCACAGGGUGGCCAAGCCCCAGACCACACGCCAGGCGGCGCCCCGGCGUCCUCCACCCACGGCCUCCCAUGCUCCAAGCAGCCUCCCCCAGCCCUUGCAACCGCUCAGCCCUCCACCCAAGACCUAAGUUCACACCUCACAACACAGCUCCUCAUGGUCUGGUAAGAGGGGUGCUGGGGGACAUGGAUGGUGACAAACCUGCAGCUGUGUCUAGGAGGCUGGUGCGACUGCCUCAGCAGAGACCAAAUAAAGAGGAUUAGGCAGCA